Spinacia oleracea (spinach) is the source of this 1511-nucleotide long non-coding RNA. RefSeq lists it as uncharacterized. The transcript has 8 exons. The record is from RefSeq and is a predicted model, not a curated record. NCBI's taxonomy places the organism in Eukaryota, Viridiplantae, Streptophyta, Magnoliopsida, Caryophyllales, Amaranthaceae.
CAAAACGACCCAUAACAGUGCUCUCGAAGGUUCUCAAGCCCGGUUUCACCCUCCGUUUGCGGCGGCCAGUUAUUUUCUUUGCGGCCAGUUGUUUUCUUUGCGGCCAGUUAUUUUUUCCUUGCCGAUUCAGAAGGUGUUUGGGUUAGUUCAUCCCUUACCUUUGUUUUUUGGCGUUUUCUCGAUCGGUUAUGAAGGUGGUUGGGUGGUCUCGACGGGGGCGCGGUGGUCUCAGUUGGGUACAGUGAAUCAUACACCGCUUGGUUACCUAGAAAGGUGGGAACUUCUUCAUAUCUCCGCCUUACAGGAUUAUCUUCGAAUGAUGUCAAGGUGAUUAGUAUUUUUUUUCCAAUAUCUUUUAGAGAGUUCAGUCCUCUUUUGGUGUAUUUAAAUGUAUCUCUUGAUCUUUUACAACAUAAAUGUGGAAUUGAUUUGAGUAGUUUGGUUUUAAGGAUCUUUUGUUCUUGUGACAGAUAAAGACAAGAGCUCAAAAAAACGUCCCAGCAAAAAGAGAAAGCAGGGCUGUGUAUGAUACAACUUGGCGGCUUCAGAAUUUCUUCAUAACUUAAUUUGGAAUCAUUACUCAUAUCGUUCACUUGAUAGGUGAUUGUCAAUUUGUUCCCAGAGUGAGGAAACGAUGCUUUCCAAGUGGAGAAGCCUAUUACAUUCACCUACGAAGAUUUCCUUACGUCAACAGAGGGAUUCUCAGAAGCAAAUCUUCUUGGGCAUGAAGCUUAUGGUUCAGUGUAUUACGGUUUGCUCCAUGACCAGGAGGUAGCAAUCAAAAGAAUGACUGCAACAAAAACCAAAGAAUUCAUGGCUGAGAUGAAAGUCUUAUGUAAGGUUCAUCAUUCAUAUUUGGUGGAGCUGCUUGGUUACGUUGCCACUGACGAUGAGCUCUUUAUUAUUUACGAAUAUGCACAAAAAUGUUCUCCGAAGAGUCAUUUACACGAUUCUCAUAAUAAAGGCCAUACGUCUCUUUCAUGGAUCAUGAGGGUAGAGGUUUGGAUCGAGUACAUUCACGAACACACAAAAACUCAUUAUGUUCAUUGAGAAUUAAAUCAAGCAAUAUCUUACUUGAUGGAGCCUUUAGGGCAAAGAUAUCAGACUUGGGGCUGUCAAAACUUGUUGGUACAACAAGUGAUGAAGAAGCUUCAGCAACAAGAGUAGUUGGAACUUAUGGUUACUUAGCUCCCGGGUCAUAAAUCAAUGGCCUCGCCACAUCCAAAGGUGAUGUUUUUGCUUUUGGCGUACAUAUAUCUGGGAAGGAAGCUGUAAUAAGAACUGAAAGCACGCAAAAUGGUCCAGAAACUUUCUAAAAAAUAUUUUGGGAAUCUGGUAGCAAGUUAAUACAGUAGUUUGAAGAAAUUUGGAUUUGAACUUGUGAUUGGAGAAUGUAUUGUUACAGUAGUUUUAUUUAAUUUAUUGCUUCGGAGAACAAGAAGUUUGUACAUUGGUCGGUUUGGAAAAAUUUUAUGCACAUAUAUAAAGUUGAUGAAUUAUUAUUAGGAAAA